UACAGAGGUGGCAAGCGUUGUUCGGAUUUACUGGGCGUAAAGGGUGCGUAGGCGGUUUGGUGUGUCGGAUGUGAAAUCCUGCUGCUCAACAGCAGAGCGGCAUCCGAAACUACUGAUCUAGAGUGCAGGAGAGGAAGGUGGAAUUCUCGGUGUAGCGGUGAAAUGCGUAGAUAUCGAGAGGAACACCCGUGGCGAAGGCGACCUUCUGGACUGCUACUGACGCUGAGGCACGAAGGCUGGGGGAG
RNAcentral lists this ribosomal RNA (245 nucleotides) under uncultured bacterium. Its description in RNAcentral is "partial 16S ribosomal RNA". It matches the Rfam family "Bacterial small subunit ribosomal RNA", at positions 524 to 768 of the family's 1533-position model. The record is from RNAcentral.